Long non-coding RNA from Salmo salar (Atlantic salmon), 819 nucleotides. RefSeq lists it as uncharacterized. The record is from RefSeq and is a predicted model, not a curated record. Lineage: Eukaryota; Metazoa; Chordata; Actinopteri; Salmoniformes; Salmonidae.
GAUUGGCAGACACUUCCCCACUGGCUCCUCACAACUGGAAAACCAGUCAAACUGAUGGUUAAGCUAAUGGAAACAAACAGUAGACAGAAGAAUCCCACUACCCCCUUCACUCACCUCCAGGAAGUCUACAGCGAUGGGGUCAUCUUUGAGCAGCUGGCCGAACACCGCCACCCACUGGCAAAUCAACUUCACUAUCUUCUGCUUGGUGUUGAGGGCAUAGGCUGCUUUCUCCAGAUCUGAGCCCUCAGAAGGCUCGGCAUGAUAGGUGCACUCAUCGAUAAGGAAGAGAACUAACACAUCUGAACAACAGCUUAACACAGCUAUUCUAGACCUAGACCACUGUCUGAGGUGCUUUCGACUGAAGCUGGAUGCCUUGGUUUAAUUAUGUUCAUUUGUUUUAUUUAUUUAAUUUAAGAACAUUUAAACGUUUAAUUUGUUUUUCGGGUACACAGAUUCAAAAUACUCCCACAAAUGUUGGGUAUGUGAUCCUCUUAGAGACUAAGUGUAAGUAAAUAGAAAUAGACACAGCUUAGGACAUCAUUAUCGUCAUCCAAAGGAUAUUGGUGUUGCAGGGCCGGGCAAAGCUGGCUGGAGGGCAUGAAGACCCUGUGGGUUAGCAGGAAGUCGCUCACACAGGGAUCUGUGGGCACAGACAGAACAACACAUAACUCACUAACAAGGACUAAUGGCACUCUGUGUCCCUCCACUUUGUGUCCCGUCCACUUCCUCCCUGAAAAACACAGGCGCAAUGAGUCAUCUGAUGGCCUUUAGUGAGUGGAUAUAAAAUACAUUUCCAGGAAUGUGCCUGGCCUGAUUCUG